Molecule: transfer RNA, 74 nt
Filed under: Desulfovibrio litoralis DSM 11393
Lineage: Bacteria; Pseudomonadati; Thermodesulfobacteriota; Desulfovibrionia; Desulfovibrionales; Desulfovibrionaceae
Rfam family: tRNA
About the family: Transfer RNA (tRNA) molecules are approximately 80 nucleotides in length.
Source: Rfam by way of RNAcentral
UGGGGCGUCGCCAAGCUGGUAAGGCAACGGGUUUUGGUCCCGUCAUUCCGUGGGUUCGAAUCCUCCCGCCCCAG